AGAGUUGAUCAUGGCUCAGAACGAACGCUGGCGGCAGGCUUAACACAUGCAAGUCGAACGCACCGCAAGGUGAGUGGCAGACGGGUGAGUAACGCGUGGGAACCUUCCCUUUGGUACGGAAUAACUUCGGGAAACCGAAGCUAAUACCGUAUAUCUCCUGUGGGAGAAAGAUUUAUCGCCAAAGGAUGGGCCCGCGUUGGAUUAGCUAGUUGGUAGGGUAAAAGCCUACCAAGGCGACGAUCCAUAGCUGGUCUGAGAGGAUGAUCAGCCACACUGGGACUGAGACACGGCCCAGACUCCUACGGGAGGCAGCAGUGGGGAAUAUUGGACAAUGGGCGCAAGCCUGAAUCCAGCCAUGCCGCGUGAGUGAAGAAGGCCUUAGGGUUGUAAAGCUCUUUUGGCGGGGACGAUAAUGACGGUACCCGCAGAAUAAGCCCCGGCUAACUUCGUGCCAGCCGCUGC
RNAcentral lists this ribosomal RNA (462 nucleotides) under uncultured bacterium. RNAcentral's name for it is "bacterial SSU rRNA". It matches the Rfam family "Bacterial small subunit ribosomal RNA", at positions 8 to 518 of the family's 1533-position model. The record is from RNAcentral.